Molecule: ribosomal RNA, 317 nt
Filed under: Ditylum brightwellii
Lineage: Eukaryota; Bacillariophyta; Thalassiosirophyceae; Lithodesmiales; Lithodesmiaceae
Description: partial Bacterial large subunit ribosomal RNA
Rfam family: Bacterial large subunit ribosomal RNA
Source: RNAcentral
UACAAGCAGUGGGAGCCUUCUUUAUGGGGGUGACUGCGUACCUUUUGUAUAAUGGGUCAGCGACUUACAUUCAGUGGCAAGCUUAACCGAGUAGGGAAGGCGUAGCGAAAGCGAGUCCGAAUAGGGCGUCUAGUCGCUGGGUGUAGACCCGAAACCAGAUGAUCUAUCCAUGGCCAGGUUGAAGCGACGGUAAGACGUCGUGGAGGACCGAACCCACUUAGGUUGAAAACUGAGGGGAUGAGCUGUGGGUAGGGGUGAAAGGCCAAUCAAACUCCGUGAUAGCUGGUUCUCCCCGAAAUGCAUUUAGGUGCAGCGUC